GGGAGCCGCCCUUUCCGGCAUGUCUCCUGAGGCUGUCUGCCCUUCCCCAGCCUCUGCAGCCUACAAUCCCAAUCCAGAGCCAGCCCGGUUUCUGCAAGCACACAGGAGCAGAAGAGAAACCAGUGAAGACUUCACCGCUGCAUAUCAGGCCAACGACGGCUGCUCGGUGACGGCGCUGCUCUGCCGCAAACACGCGACUGCAACACUGAGAAACUGCCACCAAGAAAAACCCCAAACCCACUGAUCCCACA
This 251-nucleotide long non-coding RNA is filed under the name Pan troglodytes (chimpanzee). RNAcentral describes it as "long non-coding RNA NONPTRT014952". The record is from RNAcentral. Lineage: Eukaryota; Metazoa; Chordata; Mammalia; Primates; Hominidae.